GAUCAGUGGCUCAGGACGAACGCUGGCGGCGCGCUUAAUACAUGCAAGUCGAACGAGAAGCCAGAGCUUGCUCUGGUGGAAAGUGGCGAACGGGUGAGUAACACGUGAGAAACCUGCCCCAAAGAUUGGGAUAAGCCUUGGAAACGAGGUCUAAUACCAAAUACCUUCUUUUAACACAUGUUAAAAGAAGAAAUGCUCCGGCGCUUUGGGAUGGUCUCGCGAUCUAUCAGCUUGUUGGUGAGGUAACGGCUCACCAAGGCAUCGACGGAUAGCUGGUCUGAGAGGAUGUCCAGCCACAUUGGAACUGAGACACGGUCCAAACUCCUACGGGAGGCAGCAGUAGGGAAUCUUGCACAAUGAGGGAAACCUUGAUGCAGCGACGCCGCGUGCGGGACGAAGGCCCUAGGGUUGUAAACCGCUUUCAGUAGGGACGAAAGUGACGGUACCUACAGAAGAAGCCCCGGCCAACUAUGUG
This 475-nucleotide ribosomal RNA is filed under the name uncultured bacterium. Its description in RNAcentral is "bacterial SSU rRNA". It matches the Rfam family "Bacterial small subunit ribosomal RNA", at positions 15 to 507 of the family's 1533-position model. The record is from RNAcentral.